Molecule: transfer RNA, 72 nt
Filed under: Clethrionomys gapperi (Southern red-backed vole)
Lineage: Eukaryota; Metazoa; Chordata; Mammalia; Rodentia; Cricetidae
Description: tRNA-Ser
Rfam family: tRNA
About the family: Transfer RNA (tRNA) molecules are approximately 80 nucleotides in length. Their secondary structure includes four short double-helical elements and three loops (D, anti-codon, and T loops).
Source: RNAcentral
AUUGAGAAAGACAUAAAGGUUAUGAUGCUGGCUUGAAACCAGUUUUAGGGGGUUCGAAUCCUUCCUUUCUUA